GUGCCAGCAGCCGCGGUAAUACAGAGGUGGCUAGCGUUGUUCGGAUUUAUUGGGCGUAAAGGGUCCGUAGGCGGCCUGAAAAGUCGGAUGUGAAAGCCCACAGCUCAACUGUGGAACGGCAUUCGAAACUUUCAGGCUCGAGUGUGAAAGGGGUAAGGGGAAUUCCCGGUGUAAGGGUGAAAUCUGUAGAGAUCGGGAAGAACACCAGUCGCGAAGGCGCCUUACUGGUUCACAACUGACGCUGAGGGACGAAAGCUAGGGGAGCAAACGGGAUUAGAUACCCCCGUAGUCC
This 292-nucleotide ribosomal RNA is filed under the name uncultured bacterium. Its description in RNAcentral is "partial 16S ribosomal RNA". It matches the Rfam family "Bacterial small subunit ribosomal RNA", at positions 505 to 796 of the family's 1533-position model. The record is from RNAcentral.